Homo sapiens (human) is the source of this 2003-nucleotide long non-coding RNA. RefSeq lists it as uncharacterized. The transcript is spliced from 3 exons. The record is from RefSeq and is a predicted model, not a curated record. Lineage: Eukaryota; Metazoa; Chordata; Mammalia; Primates; Hominidae.
GUCUGCAGAGAAAGAGCCAGGAUUGGAGAAGUCAGGGGGAGGAGAUGGAAGAGAACCAGAGAACCAGGGAGCGGCUCCACUCAGGGGGCACACUCGCAGCCAGGGCUCAUCACUCAUCUAUUCAGCUCUUCAUUCAGCAAACAUUCAUCAGGACCUCGGAUAUGCCAGGCACCAUGCCAGUCGCCAAGGAUCUAGCACUUAUUUUCCACAACUCAGCAACCAGUUGGGCUGCUUCCCUCUGACGCACUUGCUUCUCAUCCGGGGAGCGGGGAGUCUCCGUCUUCACAAAUGAGAAAACAGGCUUUAAGAAGAUAACUCACUGGCCUAAGUCAAGUGGCCGAGCUGGGAUUUGAACCCUAAGCCUUUGAGAAGCCAAAGUCCCUUCUUCAGCUGGGUGGUCAUGGAGUCACCUGAAUAUCUCAUCAGAAGAUGGCUUCUGAGAGUCUGUCCUAUCCCAAUGGCCCCAACAAGAUACAUAUAGACCUUAGAUUAUUGCUACCUGCGUGGAUUCAAAUGACCAAGGCACAACAAUGAGGGGAAUCCAAGCAAUGCCAGCCCAGGUGGUUGGGUCCUCAGGGCCCAAACACUUGACUCUCACCUGUCUCCACACUUGGUCUGCUGUGUGACUCAGAAAACACCUGCCCAUCCUCUCUGGGCCAGGCCACAGGCAAUGCCCUCCAAAAAGAGGUCAGCAAAGUGUGAGAUUCAGAUAAUCUCAGAAGUCACCUGUUCAAAUAUGACUAUCAUAUAAAUACAGACCUCAGGAAGAAAAGUGAGAAAAACAAACUUCAUCCCCUUCCUCUCCGUGGCCCCUGCGGAACACCAGGACCCUUAGCUCUUGUAGGACAUGCCCCCCAGCCACUUCUGGGCUCUGACCCAUUGACCUGGUCCUAGGAAGCCUCCAAACCCCUAAGGAAAGGGCCGUGCCUCUCCAAGGCCAGGCUGGGCAGGGCAGAGCAGACAGUAGGUGAGGCUGGCGUGGCAGGUUCUGGGCUGUGUGGAGGGGAAUGGGUUUCCCUUCCUUCCCCUCCAAUCCAUGUCAAGCUAGGAAGCCCCCGCCCCUUUGCCUCACCAGGCUGAGCAGCUAAUCCUUUGCAAAAACAGCCCCUGGGAACAAGGGCAGAGACAAGCCCACCUCACAAAGCAGUUCACUUAUGAGAGGAUGUAUGUGAGGUGGUGUUGGCGUGGGGAGUGCUGGCUUCAUGACGGGGAUUCUCCUCUUGCCUGAGGUCUCUGUCUGUGGGCCCCAAAGGAGCCCCCUCUUGUUUGAACUCACUGGUGAAUUGGCUAAGAGCUUGUUGGGCCUUCUGGGGAGGGGGACACUUACUCAAAAUGCCAGGCCCAAUUUCUCUGGGCUCUUGCCUGAGGUACGGAGGGAGAAGGAGAGAAGGAAGUCCUGUCCUGGCCUGCUGGAUUGGGACAUGCCCCUCCCCUUUCCCUAAUAAUAUUUCCCUAACCUGGAGAGAACAGGCGGUGAGGAGAAAAGAACAGAGAGGACACAAAGAAACAGAAGAGGAAAGUCAUUGGGUUCUGGCUACAGUCCAACAUCAAUGCUGGAUGAGCCUGGGGCACCCUGGAGGGCCUCCGCUAGUUCUUACAGUUCAUGCACCCAUCUUCCAGAAAUCUGGGGAAAGAUUCUGAACCUUAGGAAUAGGCUGACACAGAGUAAAUGUUCAGAGAAUAUUUGUGGGUGGGUGGAUGGACAGACGGAUGGAUGGAUGGAUGGAUGGAUGGAUGGAUGGAUGGAUGAAUGCAUGGAAGAAGUUAAAGCUAGAUGAAUGUGAAUUGGGAAAUAAAUGAACAGAUGGAUAAGAUGUGUAGAUAAUGGAUAAGUGGGUGGUUGGAUGAUGAACAAAUGGAUGAAUGGAUGGAUGGGUAGAUGGAUGGGUAAAUGAAAUAAGUAAAAACUAGAUGAAUAUGAAUAAGGAAAUGGGUGGAUGGAUGGAUGGACAGAUAGUUGAAGAAAUGGGUAAAAGAAUUUUUAAAAGAAUGGAAGAAGAGAG